GACGAACGCUGGCGGCGUGCUUAACACAUGCAAGUCGAACGGAAAGGCCCCUUUGGGGGUCCUCGAGUGGCGAACGGGUGAGUAACACGUGAGUAACCUGCCCUUGACUUCGGGAUAACUUCAGGAAACUGGGGCUAAUACCGGAUAGGAAUCCUUGCUGCAUGGUGGGGGUUGGAAAGCUUCGGCGGUUUUGGAUGGACUCGCGGCUUAUCAGCUUGUUGGUGGGGUAGUGGCUUACCAAGGCUUUGACGGGUAGCCGGCCUGAGAGGGCGACCGGCCACAUUGGGACUGAGAUACGGCCCAGACUCCGACGGGAGGCAGCAGGGGGGAAUAUUGCACAAGGGGCGGAAGCCUGAUGCAGCAACGCCGCGGGCGGGAUGACGGCCUUCGGGUUGUAAACCGCUUUCAGCAGGGGCGAAGCUUGUGGUGACGGUACCUGCAGAAGAAGCACCGGCUAACUACGUG
Molecule: ribosomal RNA, 465 nt
Filed under: uncultured bacterium
Lineage: Bacteria
Description: partial 16S ribosomal RNA
Rfam family: Bacterial small subunit ribosomal RNA
Source: RNAcentral